RNAcentral lists this ribosomal RNA (322 nucleotides) under uncultured eukaryote. RNAcentral's name for it is "partial 18S ribosomal RNA". It matches the Rfam family "Eukaryotic small subunit ribosomal RNA", at positions 1470 to 1796 of the family's 1831-position model. The record is from RNAcentral.
CCCUUAGAUGUUCUGGGCCGCACGCGUGCUACACUGAGUGGAUCAGCGGGUCAGGUUGCGCGAAAGUGUUUCCUAAUCUUUAAAUCCGCUCGUGAUGGGGAUUGACGGUUGCAAUUUUCCGUCAUAAACGAGGAAUACCUUGUAAGCGCGGGUCAUCAUCCCGCGCUGAAUACGUCCCUGCCCUUUGUACACACCGCCCGUCGCUCCUACCGAUUGAGUGGUCCGGUGAGGCUUUGGGAUCUGAGCGGAAAGAGCGUUUCGCUGUUUCUGCCCGGAAAACUCAGUCGAACCUUAUCAUUUAGAGGAAGGAGAAGUCGUAACA